UUUAAGAUAUAAGCCAAAAUACCAUACCUGCAGAAGCCACUGAAAGGCUAAGCAAACAUGCCAGAAUCUCAGAGCAGUGAUGCCCCAACCUACCGUGGUUGGUCCAUUUUCAACAUUUUAUGCUGCUGUUGGCCUCUUGGAGCUUUUGCACUGUAUUACUCUUGCAAGGUAAAAACUGCAAAUGAAGCUGGAGACACCGUUGCAGCUCGGGACGCAUCAAAAACAGCAAUGACCCUGAAUAUCAUCUCCCUCAUCUGUGGACUUAUUCUCAUCCCCAUCAUCAUCUAUUACCAGCUCCAAAAACAGAAGAAUCACUGACUUGUCACUGCAGAUAUCUUCCUCUCCUCCACCAGCAGUUGAAAGCAACAGAAGUAAAUGGCCGAUCUUCUCUACAUCAGUCAAACUGAAUGCUGUCAAAAUUAUUCUUUGGUACAUUGUUUCUCCCUCGAUUGUUAAAUCAUUUCAAGUUUGUUAACACAGACAUGGCUUAACUUUGUUCGGUGCUUGUUGCAAAUAAAGAAAACCUGAAAAGGCA
Poeciliopsis prolifica (blackstripe livebearer) is the source of this 535-nucleotide long non-coding RNA. RefSeq lists it as uncharacterized. NCBI's taxonomy places the organism in Eukaryota, Metazoa, Chordata, Actinopteri, Cyprinodontiformes, Poeciliidae. The record is from RefSeq and is a predicted model, not a curated record. The transcript is spliced from 2 exons.